RNAcentral lists this ribosomal RNA (274 nucleotides) under uncultured bacterium. RNAcentral's name for it is "partial 16S ribosomal RNA". It matches the Rfam family "Bacterial small subunit ribosomal RNA", at positions 523 to 796 of the family's 1533-position model. The record is from RNAcentral.
AUACGGAGGGUGCAAACGUUGCUCGGAAUCAUUGGGCGUAAAGCGCGCGUAGGCGGCUUGGCAAGUUGGAUGUGAAAGCCCUGGGCUCAACCCAGGAUGUGCAUUCAAAACUGCCUCGCUUGAAUCUCGGAGGGGGACAGGGAAUUCCCGGUGUAGAGGUGAAAUUCGUAGAUAUCGGGAGGAACACCAGUGGCGAAGGCGCUGUCCUGGACCGACACUGACGCUGAGGCGCGAAAGCGUGGGGAGCAAACAGGAUUAGAAACCCCAGUAGUCC